UACAGAAAAGGCCCUGACACUCUUGAACCUCAUUUGAGAAUGUGGAAUAGCUAAGAGCAGCUGGUUAGAGGAUGGUAGAGUGGAGUGAACACAGAGAAGUAUUUCACCACAGCAGGGUUCUACCAGGAACUGAAACAUAACCUCCACUUCCUCGUGUGAUAUUUCAGUGUUGCAACAUUGGAUGGACACAGAAUAAGAAUUGCCUCCGUCAAUGAUGAUGUCUCCAGGCUGAAGAAGAGGCACCUGUUCGGCAGUAGUAUGAUAAUUCAUCACCACUGCAUUCGACCAUCUUAAAGUCAACCAAGCAUCGAUCAGAACAGUGAUGAACCAAAUCUCCUUCAG
Trichomycterus rosablanca is the source of this 342-nucleotide long non-coding RNA. RefSeq lists it as uncharacterized. Lineage: Eukaryota; Metazoa; Chordata; Actinopteri; Siluriformes; Trichomycteridae. The record is from RefSeq and is a predicted model, not a curated record. The transcript is spliced from 4 exons.